AGCCUAUGUGGGAUUAGCUAGUUGGUGAGGUAAUGGCUCACCAAGGCGACGAUCUCUAGCUGGUUUGAGAGGAUGAUCAGCCACACUGGGACUGAGACACGGCCCAGACUCCUACGGGAGGCAGCAGUGGGGAAUAUUGGACAAUGGGCGCAAGCCUGAUCCAGCAAUACCGCGUGUGUGAAGAAGGCCCUAGGGUUGUA
Molecule: ribosomal RNA, 200 nt
Filed under: uncultured Ignatzschineria sp.
Lineage: Bacteria; Pseudomonadati; Pseudomonadota; Gammaproteobacteria; Cardiobacteriales; Ignatzschineriaceae
Description: partial 16S ribosomal RNA
Rfam family: Bacterial small subunit ribosomal RNA
Source: RNAcentral